ACAUUUAUUAGUGGUACAUCCUGCCCAGUGAAUUUUCAACGGCCGCGGUAUCCUGACCGUGCAAAGGUAGCAUAAUCACUUGCCUAUUAAUUGUAGGCUAGAAUGAACGGAUAAACGAGAAUAAAGCUGUCUCCUUUAAGCCCCUAAAACUUUAUAUUAGAGUGAAGAAGCUCUAAUUAAGACGCAGGACAAGAAGACCCUAUAGAGCUUUACCUUACUCACCUAACUUAUAGGUGCUACGGUUCGGUUGGGGCGACCAGGGGAUAUAAAACACCCCUAAAAUAUAAGAUUAACCAAUCUCAACAAUGAUCCUUAACUCAAGAUCAUCGAAUCAAGCUACCUUAGGGAUAACAGGCUAAUCCUCUUUUAGAGCCCUUAUCGACAAGAGGGAUUGGCACCUCGAUGUUGGCUUAGGAUUUCUCUGUGACGCAGCAGUCACAAUAGACGGUUUGUUCAACCAUUAAAUUCCU
Molecule: ribosomal RNA, 470 nt
Filed under: Tubifex newaensis
Lineage: Eukaryota; Metazoa; Annelida; Clitellata; Tubificida; Naididae
Description: partial 16S ribosomal RNA
Rfam family: Bacterial large subunit ribosomal RNA
Source: RNAcentral